CGUAGGAGGUCAAGCGUUAUCCGGAUUCACUGGGCGUGAAGCGCGUGCAGGUGGCGCGGUAAGUUGGGCGUGAAAUCUCCCGGCUCAACUGGGAGAGGUCGUUCAAUACUACCGUGCUCGAGAGCAGAAGAGGAAGAUGGAAUUCCCGGUGUAGUGGUGAAAUGCGUAGAUAUCGGGAGGAACACCAGUGGCGAAGGCGAUCUUCUGGUCUGUUUCUGACACUCAGACGCGACAGCUAGGGUAGUAAACGGGAUUAGAGACCCCGGUAAUCCUAGCCGUAAACGAUGUGAACUUGGCGUUGGUGGGUUAAACUCCAUCAGUGCCGUAGCAAACGCGAUAAGUUCACCGCCUGGGGACUACGGCCGCAAGGUUA
This 373-nucleotide ribosomal RNA is filed under the name uncultured organism. RNAcentral describes it as "bacterial SSU rRNA". It matches the Rfam family "Bacterial small subunit ribosomal RNA", at positions 526 to 896 of the family's 1533-position model. The record is from RNAcentral.